GACGAACGCUGGCGGCGUGCUUAACACAUGCAAGUCGAGCGGUAAGGCCCUUUCGGGGGUACACGAGCGGCGAACGGGUGAGUAACACGUGGGUGACCUGCCCUCAGCUCUGGGAUAAGCCUGGGAAACCGGGUCUAAUACUGGAUAUGACUCCAUGACGCAUGUUGUGGGGUGGAAAGCCUUGUGCGGCUGAGGAUGGGCCCGCGGCCUAUCAGCUUGUUGGUGGGGUGANGGCCUACCAAGGCGGCGACGGGUAGCCGGCCUGAGAGGGCGACCGGCCACACUGGGACUGAGACACGGCCCAGACUCCUACGGGAGGCAGCAGUGGGGAAUCUUGCGCAAUGGGCGAAAGCCUGACGCAGCGACGCCGCGUGAGGGAUGACGGCCU
This 388-nucleotide ribosomal RNA is filed under the name uncultured bacterium. RNAcentral's name for it is "bacterial SSU rRNA". It matches the Rfam family "Bacterial small subunit ribosomal RNA", at positions 28 to 417 of the family's 1533-position model. The record is from RNAcentral.